This 1069-nucleotide long non-coding RNA is filed under the name Androctonus crassicauda. Lineage: Eukaryota; Metazoa; Arthropoda; Arachnida; Scorpiones; Buthidae. The record is from RNAcentral.
GUUUAUAAUAUACGUUUAAUCAAUUGCGUUAGGGACAAGAGCCCACGAGUUGGCAAUACGAUGUAUUAUCCUGUAUCACGAUUUGACGCGUCUCUCAUUCCCUUUCAAGUCUCUUUCUCCAUUUUUCUUUAUCAAAAUAAACAAUAUCUGGAGAUCAGAAAAGACAAACUACUGCUGACCUGCGUUACUGUCCUAAAAAUUACAUUUAAUACUGAAAAAACAGCGUCAAACGAAAUAUUUAUGCGAAUUUAAGAAGGGAAUAGGAAAAUACCAAUGGAUAUAAUUCUAACAGUUCCUUCUACAAAUUCUGUUUUCCUUCUCGAAUUAUCGAUAUAAUGUGCAUUGUCGUUCUGUCGGUUUUAUAAUAGCAGCUUUUUUAUUUCAACUAGUUUUAUGUAGUGGCAUUAUGCAUUAACACUCGAUUUUACUCUGUACACUAGCUGUCUUUCAAAAAACAUCAACUUAACAUAUUAUACACGCCGAUUAAAGAUUCUGAUAGCUUAAUUUUCUGGUAAAUCUUGUAUAAUUCCAUUCUGUUUUAUAUAACUAAUAGUUGCGAAACGAAAUAAAUAUAUUUCAGUGAACAAAAGAAAAUUUAUAUUGCACCUGAUCCUGUCUGUUUCAAAAAAUAAAUCGCGCUCCUAUUAACCUUCCUACCGCGAAUUAUAAGGAAACCAUAAGGAAACGGCUGAUCGCGAAAUUCACGCGUCAGUCAGCUAUCUACACGUUAAAUGCAACGAACUUGGGAAUUCUACGAAUGCCUAAUUGUUUCCUGCUACUUGCAAUACAUUCUAGAACUGGCAAUACAUAUCACCAGCAUUUCGUCAUUUUUCAAAUUUAACAACAAAUAUAGAGACCUUCAAUUAUUACGUAAUACUUCAACAAUUUGGAAAACGUUUUCUUCCGAUACCAUCGAUCAUAUAUACUAUUACAUAUCAAUUGAUAAUUUUAAUUUAAAUUGUUUUCAACGAAUGACAAAUUAAUUGUCAAUUUUUAAUUUCCUAGCUACUACUCCCUUGACAACUACGGUUAUGCCGAACACCACAGUACCUCCUGCAACAAGUAAGUG